GUGCUUCAUACAUGCAAGUCGAGCGGGGUCCAUCCGGUGGCAACACCGGUGAAGACCUAGCGGCGAACGGGUGAGUAACACGUGAGAAACCUACCCCCAAGUCUGGGAUAACCCCGGGAAACCGGAGCUAAUACCGGAUGCCCUCGUCGGGCCGCAUGGCCUGACGAGGAAAGUUUUUCGCUUGGGGAGGGGCUCGCGAGCUAUCAGCUUGUUGGUGGGGUAAUGGCCUACCAAGGCUUCGACGGCUAGCUGGUCUGAGAGGACGAUCAGCCACACUGGGACUGAGACACGGCCCAG
Molecule: ribosomal RNA, 297 nt
Filed under: uncultured bacterium
Lineage: Bacteria
Description: partial 16S ribosomal RNA
Rfam family: Bacterial small subunit ribosomal RNA
Source: RNAcentral